This 617-nucleotide long non-coding RNA is filed under the name Panax ginseng (ginseng). RNAcentral describes it as "long non-coding RNA (PGIN_LNC008964)". Lineage: Eukaryota; Viridiplantae; Streptophyta; Magnoliopsida; Apiales; Araliaceae. The record is from RNAcentral.
CCCAACUCAAUACCAAAGCCCCUUCCUCCUUCCUUCUCAUUUCUAUGACCUCUUAAGCUCCCUCUGUCCCUCUAGUUUCCAUCAUUUUGAGGCUCUGCUCCUUUUUUUCUCCCUGUUUUGUUUUCUCUGCAAUUAUAAUAUCAAGGUUACUUUGGGUCCAAGAUCACUUGCUCCUUGAUAUCUAAAUUUGUCCAAAUAUUGUUUCUUUUUAACCAUCAAACACCCAUCCAAGGAUUCUCUUGAAUUUUAAUGGGACUGAAAUAAAGAUGAUAUCAAGUUUUAGUUUUUUAUAUUAAUUGUUUUUUUCUAAAAAAAACAAUCAAUCAAUCAAUCUUGAUGCUUAAAUUAUUGUUCUUGAUGUUUGAAAUUGAUGUCUCAAAUUCUUAGUGAACUACUUUUUUCUGGGUUUAUGAUAAAUUCUACAUAUAGGCGCAGGACCCAUUUAGUUCAAUCCUUCUCAGUUGUCUUCCUCUACUGGUUGUAUUUUGUUUCAUAGCUUUCUCCUGAUCCUUUUAUAUAAUUAUAUCUAUACCUAUUUACUUGUUUAAUUUACUAUCUAUCUAUCUGGGUCCUGACAUUUUAUUUUCAAUAUAUAUAGUUACGUUCGUCUCUUUUAU